ACUCAAAUGAAUUGACGGGGACCCGCACAAGCAGCGGAGUGUGUGGUUUAAUUCGAUGCAACGCGCAGAACCUUACCUGGGUUCAAUCGGAGUCGCACCAGGGGUAAUGCCCUGUACCCGCAAGGGACGGCUCUGACGGUGCUGCAUGGCUGUCGUCAGCUCGUGCCGUGAGGUGUUGGGUUAAGUCCCCUAACGAGCGCAACCCUCGGUGCCGGUUAGCCAUCCGGCGCGACUGCCCCGCACAACGGGGAGGAAGGUGGGGAUGACGUCAAGUCAGCACGGCCCUGACGCCCAGGGCGACACACACACUACAAUGGACGGGACAAUGGGUCGCCAAGUGGCAACACUGAGCUAAUCCCCAAACCCGUCCUCAGUUCGGAUCGCAGGCUGCAACUCGCCUGCGUGAAGUCGGAGUUGCUAGUAACCGCCGGUCAGCAUACGGCGGUGAAUACGUUCCCGGGUCUUGUACACACCGCCCGU
This 480-nucleotide ribosomal RNA is filed under the name uncultured bacterium. RNAcentral describes it as "partial 16S ribosomal RNA". It matches the Rfam family "Bacterial small subunit ribosomal RNA", at positions 899 to 1397 of the family's 1533-position model. The record is from RNAcentral.